Molecule: ribosomal RNA, 470 nt
Filed under: uncultured bacterium
Lineage: Bacteria
Description: bacterial SSU rRNA
Rfam family: Bacterial small subunit ribosomal RNA
Source: RNAcentral
ACUCCUACGGGAGGCAGCAGUGAGGAAUAUUGGACAAUGGGCGGGAGCCUGAUCCAGCCAUGCCGCGUGCAGGAAGACUGCCCUAUGGGUUGUAAACUGCUUUUGUACAGGAAGAAACACUCCCUCGUUGAAGGGAGCUUGACGGUACUGUAAGAAUAAGGAUCGGCUAACUCCGUGCCAGCAGCCGCGGUAAUACGGAGGGUGCGAGCGUUAUCCGGAUUUAUUGGGUUUAAAGGGUCCGUAGGCGGGUUAAUAAGUCAGUGGUGAAAUCCCAUCGCUUAACGAUGGAACUGCCAUUGAUACUGUUAGUCUUGAAUGAGGGUGCAGUGGUUGGAAUGUGUAGUGUAGCGGUGAAAUGCAUAGAUAUUACACAGAACACCGAUUGCGAAGGCAGAUCACUAACCCUAAAUUGACGCUGAGGGACGAAAGCGUGGGGAGCGAACAGGAUUAGAUACCCUGUAGGUGACAAU